GGACCCGCACAAGCGGUGGAUGAUGUGGUUUAAUUCGAUGCAACGCGAAAAACCUUACCCACCUUUGACAUGUACGGAAUCCUUUAGAGAUAGAGGAGUGCUCGAAAGAGAGCCGUAACACAGGUGCUGCAUGGCUGUCGUCAGCUCGUGUCGUGAGAUGUUGGGUUAAGUCCCGCAACGAGCGCAACCCUUGCCAUUAGUUGCUACAUUUAGUUGAGCACUCUAAUGGGACUGCCGGUGACAAACCGGAGGAAGGUGGGG
Molecule: ribosomal RNA, 261 nt
Filed under: uncultured prokaryote
Description: partial 16S ribosomal RNA
Rfam family: Bacterial small subunit ribosomal RNA
Source: RNAcentral